GAUGAACGCUGGCUACAGGCUUAACACAUGCAAGUCGAGGGGAAACGACGGGGAAGCUUGCUUCCCCGGGCGUCGACCGGCGCACGGGUGAGUAACGCGUAUCCAACCUGCCUCUGACUGAGGGAUAACCCGUCGAAAGUCGGCCUAAUACCUCAUGGUAUCGUCUGCGGGCAUCCAACGACGAUUAAAGAUUUCAUCGGUCAGGGAUGGGGAUGCGUCUGAUUAGCUUGUUGGCGGGGUAACGGCCCACCAAGGCUACGAUCAGUAGGGGUUCUGAGAGGAAGGUCCCCCACAUUGGAACUGAGACACGGUCCAAACUCCUACGGGAGGCAGCAGUGAGGAAUAGUGGUCAAUGGGCGAGAGCCUGAACCAGCCAAGUAGCGUGCAGGAAGACGGCCCUAUGGGUUGUAAACUGCUUUUAUGCGGGGAUAAAGUGAGGGACGUGUCCCUCAUUGCAGGUACCGCAUGAAUAAGAACCGGCUAAUUCCGUG
This 491-nucleotide ribosomal RNA is filed under the name uncultured bacterium. RNAcentral's name for it is "partial 16S ribosomal RNA". It matches the Rfam family "Bacterial small subunit ribosomal RNA", at positions 28 to 507 of the family's 1533-position model. The record is from RNAcentral.